Molecule: RNA transcript, 2718 nt
Organism: Poecilia reticulata (guppy)
Lineage: Eukaryota; Metazoa; Chordata; Actinopteri; Cyprinodontiformes; Poeciliidae
Gene: rnf215
Gene name: ring finger protein 215
Source: RefSeq, a predicted model, not a curated record
AAUACACGUUAGCGUCGGUAACUUUACGGUCAAUUUGCGUUUAUCGACAGAAGAAUUAUCGUAUUGUGUUAAAGAAAAUCACUUUUUAAAAGUACACAUUUAAAGUUCAAUGGUCGUUAACUGAAUUAUUACCGGGAAUCAUCUGGGCGCUCUUACACAAGAUAGUAACCCUCCCUGACUUCCGUUUACAACAGGAAGUUUUUUUAUUCUUCCUGUUUACAUCCAAGAGCCUGCGAGCUAACAGCCUAAAAUAAUCGGCUGCAGGAUUUCUAACAAAAUGCCUGACAGUUGAUGAGUUUUGUGCGUUUCUUGUUGCUUCCUGCUGGUUUUUUGGGGGGGGACCAUGGCUUCAGCUCGCCGGUGUUGUCUCUGUUUACCGUCGCCAGUUGUUCUGCUGCUGCUGCUGCGGUGGCCCGGGCUGCUGGUGGCCGCAGAGCAGGUCGCUUUGGUGGAGGUUUUUCUGGAGCAGCAGCCCGCUGUUAGCGCCGUGCUCCAGGGGGAAGUGGUGGAGUCAAGCCGAGGUAGUAAGAGCUCAGAGACCCGGAACGAGGAGGAGGAAGAGCUGGAGGGGAACCUGGUGUUGGUUGGAGACGACGCGACGCAGCCGAGCGAAGGAAGAGACGGGGGAAAUGGCAACCGGCAGGAGCCGUGGAUUGGCGUUGUGCCGGUGGAGAUGGACGACAGCAAAGCCUCCACUGGGAACCAGGAGUCUUUUGCUGAUGCAGUGGUUAACAAAAUGAAGCGGGCGUUGGUCCUGGGAGCAUCGGCGCUGAUCAUCCUGGCUCUGAACCAAAACACAGCCAGCGAGAUGGAUUUGUCCCAGGUUCUGCUGUCCAAGCCCGUCAUUGUGAUCCAAACAUCAGAGAACGUCACCAAGCUGAUUGGAGCUCUGCUGAGGGGUCUUCGGGCGACGGCUAAAAUCACAUAUGAGACGAUCCUACAGGACAACUUGGGCGCCACGCUGACCCUGUGGUCCAGCUGCGGCCGGUCCAGAGGCGGCCUGUACGGAGAGUGGCAGGGGGUCAUCUGCACCGGCGAGAGCAACUCUCAGGUCCAGACGCCGUUUCUUCUUCUCUGGUGGUUUCCAGAAGUACCUGCAGCAGCUGUGGGACACCGUCCUGCUGGUGGCGCUGAUCCUCUGCACAGGCGUCAUCGUUCAGGCCCGCUGGCAGCACCAGGACGACAACGACAACCUAGAGCUUCUUCCCAAGCAGGACGUUCUGAAGAAAAUGUCGUCGCUGAAAACCAAAACGUAUCGUCGGCCCAAACGCUGGUGCGACCCGUCCCAGCAGACCGAGACGGAGAACUGCGCGGUCUGUCUGGAACCGUUCAACAACAACCAGUGUCUGCGGGUGCUGCCGUGCCUCCAUGAGUACCACAGGGACUGCAUCGACCCCUGGCUGUUGCUGCAGCACACCUGCCCUCUGUGCAAACGCAGCAUCCUCGGCGCCGUCCGCAGAGACAGCUAGCAGCCGCCGCGCCCGGACCGCAUCUCGACCGCGCCGCCCUCCCUGGGAGCGGAUCUGGACUCCAGGCGGCAGAAACUCUGCGUUUUGGAUUCCUGCUGAGCUCCUCCUGGGACGUCUGUUACGUUAAAACACGUGUGGAAUCUCUGCAGCUGAAGUCGGCUGCCCAAACGUUUCGACGUGUAAAAACUAUUUAUUCGCUCCAUGGACGACGACGAUGACUUCUUCUUCUUCCUCUUCCACACGCUGUUCACUUUAGCUCCUGAAUGAUGUCAGUAACAAACAUGUUCAUCUGAUUUAUUUCCUGCUAAAACCGCUUCUGCGCUUCUUGUUUGGAAAAUUAGCAGGUUUUUUUUCCAGGGUGAAAAGAUUAGCUUUAAAAAUCAUCCGUACUAAUACCUAAAUAUAAACGACAGCGGUGUGGAAAAGUGUUUGUCCUCUUCCUCAUUUUGUAUUUUUUUGCAUGUUUAUCACAGUUCUGUGUUUCAGGACAUCAAACCAAUUUAAGUAUUUAUAAAUGAAGGCGAUAGAAAUCCAGACGUUGACCUGGAUUUAUUUCUAAUGACUGAGUGAAAAAGUUUGGUCCAAAAGCCACAAACAAUCGAAACGGAUUUUAAAACAAACACUAAAGCUGUUUGUUUAUAAUCCUUCCACCCUGGAAAACGAAGAUCCAAACUGACCUGACGAGAGUUAAAGUGCUGUGCAAAAGUCUUUAAAAAAUGAUUUGUUAAAUUAAAGUGUAUUUAAGUGUAGUUUAUAAAGAUUUUAUAGUUAUUCUCUUAACUUUGGCUCCUUUUUUCAAAUCUCAUCUUUCCUUUGGUUUCAUGCUUCACAUUUUUAGCAGCAAUCUGGCAGACAGAUUAGUUCCUCUGUCGUUAAAUUUAAGGAAUUUACAGCAACCAAACCUGAAAUGAUCAAAUCUACACAAGAAAUUUCUACAUUAAGGUUUCAUAUUUAAAAGCGGUAAAAGUCAAACGUUUGUUUAAACUGAAUUUUCCUCGAUUAAAAACCAUAAAUUUAAAUUACUAAAACUAGAAUAUUACAAAGCCAGAUGUGAGUAUGAAAGAAUCCCAGGCUGGAACGAACCCUGAGUCUGGAUUAACUGGAGUAUCCAGACAGAGAACUGUCAUUUGCUGAACAUUAAGCCAAAAUUGUACAAAAAUAUGUAUUCAUUAAAGAAGAACUUCAUCUGUAAAAGUUUUACACAGAGCCAGUUUUACCUUCACCCAAUAAAAAGUCCAUAAAAAUCUGA